AGAGAAGCCCUGGAUGAGGCUGAAGACACAUCUAACAAGGAGGACACAGCACAGCACAAAUGCACACCACCACAGGACACAACCCGAUGACAGCAGACAAAGAGAGGCCGUACUCGGUCUUUGCUGGCGCAGGCGAAACAGAGCUGUCUGCAGUGGAAGGAGCAAGCUCAGGGGCUUGUCCACUGGCCCCAGCGGCGGGAGCAGGAGAGCCCAGGGCUGCAAAAACAUCCUUUGCAAGGGUUCCAAAUGGAGAACGUGCAAUGAAAGGAAAGGCACCAGCUGAUGGCGCAGGGUGGUGCAGCUGCUGGGUCCCUGGGCUGGAGCAGAGCCCAAACCUCAGCAAGGUGGACAGGUCUGCACUCACGAGAAGGCGGCCUUGCCCUCCUCCAUGUCCUUGCCCUUGGCCCCGGGCCCGGCUUUUCCACACAGGUUGACCGCAAUGCACAUGAACAGGCCACACUUGUUCAGGAAGUAGCAGGUGAUGUCCACAACCACCAGGAGCAGGACGAAGAUGACGAUGAGGAUGCCCACGAUGGCCCCGGUGCUCAGGCCUGAGAACAACCUGCUUCCAUAACUGGCAGCCCUGCCCCACCAGUAGACUAUGUCUAAAGCUUCCUGUGCUCUCAGGGCCAACUGAAGCCACCCAGGACUGCAGACUGAAGAUGGGAACUGUAGCCAGCACUACCUGGGGCUCACCCCACCAGCCACCCCACUCCCAACCCAGCUCGCUAGGCUUUGCCAAGCACCAGGCCAGGCUCAGCAGCUUGCGAGCCAUGUAACAUGCCAGAUAGAUAGUGGAGGGAACAUGUAACUGAGUAACCAGCACCAGAGCUGGGCCACACAUUUUUUGUUUUUCAUGCAGCCUGUAUUUGCGGGAGGGUGGUGGUAUUGAUGGCUCUGUGUGCCCCAGGGGUCUCUGUCCAGGCACUCUAGUGCUUCUCUGGUGGCUGUCCCUCUCCACUGGUCCAUAUUUCAAACUUCAGUUUGGGGAAUGGGCCAUCAGCCUAGCAUGCCAGAGAGGAUCCCUCACAAAUGACUCCUGAGACCCCUGGGUGCAGCUCGUACAUGUUUUUAGUCCCUUUGGGACCUUGGCUUGCCUCCCAGCCCUUCCUCCUCAGGCUCUCUGGCUGGUCCCUGCUGACCUCGCACUGAAGAUCCUAGCGCAUUCCCCCAGGAAGGCUUGAGAUGGCGAAGAACUCUGCUUGGAGAACCCAGCUCUGGACACCUGUCUCUGGGCUUUGGCAGCAGGAAGCUGGCCACUGGCCUUAGCCGUCAGCUAGAAUGGGUCAUUUUCUUAGCAGCCAUGAAUGCAGAGGUAUUUCUGGUUAGUCUCAUAAGAACAAAACCAUCCACUUCCCCAGAGUCCUCACACAUUCCACCCAAAAAGCAAAGGAGACACAGGCCUUCUUGGUCUUCAGGAUCCCAUAGCUGUUUCCCUGAACAGGGAAGAAACUUUAGCCUUGGGUUUUCUCUCCAUUCCAUGACACAGGGCUCCAGGCCACUGCAGCUUCCGGACAUCAGUACCCGAUAGGUGUAAAGUGCCUACUCCCUGAAGAAAGAUCUGAAAGUAUUUUUUUGAUGACAGUGGGGAAUAUGUCUGGAUUUUUGGACUCAAUGGCACUAAUUAUAUCUUCUGAGGUUUAUGUGUAAAUAUGAUUUUGUGAAACUAAUCAUAUCUCUAAAGAGGAAAAAUAA
Molecule: long non-coding RNA, 1695 nt
Organism: Homo sapiens (human)
Lineage: Eukaryota; Metazoa; Chordata; Mammalia; Primates; Hominidae
Gene: NCAM1-AS1
Product: NCAM1 antisense RNA1
Source: Ensembl